GGGGAUUUAGCUCAGUUGGUAGAGUGCUUGCCUUGCAUGCACAAAGCCCUGGGUUCAAUCCCCAGCACCA
Molecule: transfer RNA, 70 nt
Filed under: Marmota marmota marmota (Alpine marmot)
Lineage: Eukaryota; Metazoa; Chordata; Mammalia; Rodentia; Sciuridae
Also listed under: 3 other names
Rfam family: tRNA
About the family: Transfer RNA (tRNA) molecules are approximately 80 nucleotides in length. Their secondary structure includes four short double-helical elements and three loops (D, anti-codon, and T loops). Further hydrogen bonds mediate the characteristic L-shaped molecular structure. tRNAs have two regions of fundamental functional importance: the anti-codon, which is responsible for specific mRNA codon recognition, and the 3' end, to which the tRNAs corresponding amino acid is attached (by aminoacyl-tRNA synthetases). tRNAs cope with the degeneracy of the genetic code in two manners: having more than one tRNA (with a specific anti-codon) for a particular amino acid; and 'wobble' base-pairing, i.e. permitting non-standard base-pairing at the 3rd anti-codon position.
Source: Rfam by way of RNAcentral